CUUUAUUAGUCCCACAGCAAAGAGGUUUAUAGUGUUACAAGUGCAAAGUGAUAGCAAAGCACACAGAAGCAGAGAAAAGUAUUAACAAAUAAUAUAUAAACAAAAAAUAAAUCUGGAGAAUAUUUACAUUACUUGCACAUGAAAAAACCUGUACAACACAUUAGAGGUGUGUGUGUGUGUGUCUGUGUGUGUGAGUGUGUGUGUGUGUGUGUCUGUGUGUGUGGUCUACUAGGAGCAGCGCUGGUUAUGAAGUUUGACAAGCGGCAGGAAGGAAGGACUUGUGAUGCCUGUCCUUCAGACACUUUGGAUUAAGCAGUGACUGAAGGAGCUCUCCAGUGGUGUCAGAGUGUCCUUCAUGGGCUCACCGGGUUUAUUCUUUCAUGUGAGUGAGGGGUCCCAGCUCCAGACUCCCUGCAUUGCCCUGCGUCUGUGUGGCCUAGAUGGGAGGACCAGAAACUGCUGAACAGGAACUGCCAAGCUAAAUCCAUAGAACAAGGUUUACAUAACCUUACAUGCACUCGGCAGAUCAUAAGAGGAGUACUUGAGGCCCUCAUAAAGCAGAGUUGGAAAGGCACACAAAUGGCAAUAAAUUUUCUUUUAUGAUGCCAGGAGGAUUUGUUGGUAUAAUGAAGCAUUGCAGCUGUACGAUAUUUAGGAUUGGAGAAUUUCAAAUAGAGCAGGAAGCCAACAUGUUUUCUUUCGUUGGAUGGAGGUAUUCCCUGAUCCCUCUUUAUUCCAUUACAGACACAGCCUGGGAUAGACAUGAGAAAAUAUCAUCCCUCUUUUUGCCAGGCGGCUAGAUGGAAUAUGAGUAACACUGUUGCUGUAGCAGACUGAAGAAUUAUUUCCCAGUACUUUUCCAUUGUUCAGUCUGCUAAGAAUUGAGUAAAAGAAUGAAGGUCGUACUUUGCUGUGUUUUUUCUCUCUGCCACUCCCUGCCUCUAAGGUCACGGAUUCGCUUUCCACCACCUGCAGUAGCUGUCUUUUGAAGCCCACCCUGGAAAACUAUACGGAAAGCAGCUGGUGGGUCGUUCGAUCUCCGGCUGUGGAAGUCCCAAAUGUUCAAACCUCAUAUCCAAACAUGCUUCUGCUUCCAGCUCCCCCCUCCUCAACACUCCCCUACCCAGCCUACCCAGCAUGACCCCGUGUUUGAGGUGUGUGUGUUUGAAUGUGGUCUGCAGAAAUAAGACAAGGGGCCCCACUCUGGCCUUGGACCAUUCUCUGGAGAGAUGUCUAAGACUCUAUCAACUAAAGUCAAGUUCUCCUUUUUAGACUUUGCCUUUGGUGGUCAGGAAAAGGUCAGGGUGCUACUAUGGAAGGGGUCACUUGAAGCUAGUAGUUUAAGGUGAGGACCUAUACAGCAUUAUUUCACAAUAUGAGGAAUAAAUCCGAUUAAAUCUCUAUAAAUAAAUCUAAUUGAGAAUAAUUGCC
This is a long non-coding RNA of Astyanax mexicanus (Mexican tetra), 1431 nucleotides long. RefSeq lists it as uncharacterized. The record is from RefSeq and is a predicted model, not a curated record. The transcript has 2 exons. NCBI's taxonomy places the organism in Eukaryota, Metazoa, Chordata, Actinopteri, Characiformes, Acestrorhamphidae.